Molecule: ribosomal RNA, 253 nt
Filed under: uncultured bacterium
Lineage: Bacteria
Description: partial 16S ribosomal RNA
Rfam family: Bacterial small subunit ribosomal RNA
Source: RNAcentral
UACGUAGGUGGCGAGCGUUGUCCGGAAUUACUGGGUGUAAAGGGCGUGUAGGCGGGAAUGCAAGUCAGAUGUGAAAUACCAAGGCUUAACCUUGGGGCUGCAUCUGAAACUGCGUUUCUUGAGUGUCGGAGAGGAAAGUGGAAUUCCUAGUGUAGCGGUGAAAUGCGUAGAUAUUAGGAGGAACACCAGUGGCGAAGGCGACUUUCUGGACGAUAACUGACGCUGAGGCGCGAAAGCGUGGGGAGCAAACAGG